This 1094-nucleotide ribosomal RNA is filed under the name Brevibacterium sp. Its description in RNAcentral is "bacterial SSU rRNA". It matches the Rfam family "Bacterial small subunit ribosomal RNA", at positions 53 to 1153 of the family's 1533-position model. The record is from RNAcentral. Lineage: Bacteria; Bacillati; Actinomycetota; Actinomycetes; Micrococcales; Brevibacteriaceae.
ACAUGCAAGUCGAACGCUGAAGCCUGGUGCUUGCACCGGGUGGAUGAGUGGCGAACGGGUGAGUAACACGUGAGUAACCUGCCCCUGACUUCGGGAUAAGCCCGGGAAACUGGGUCUAAUACCGGAUACGACUGCCGGACGCAUGUCUGGUGGUGGAAAGUUUUUUCGGUUGGGGAUGGGCUCGCGGCCUAUCAGUUUGUUGGUGAGGUAAUGGCUCACCAAGACGACGACGGGUAGCCGGCCUGAGAGGGCGACCGGCCACACUGGGACUGAGACACGGCCCAGACUCCUACGGGAGGCAGCAGUGGGGAAUAUUGCACAAUGGGGGAAACCCUGAUGCAGCGACGCAGCGUGCGGGAUGACGGCCUUCGGGUUGUAAACCGCUUUCAGCAGGGAAGAAGCGCAAGUGACGGUACCUGCAGAAGAAGUACCGGCUAACUACGUGCCAGCAGCCGCGGUAAUACGUAGGGUACGAGCGUUGUCCGGAAUUAUUGGGCGUAAAGAGCUCGUAGGUGGUUGGUCACGUCUGCUGUGGAAACGCAACGCUUAACGUUGCGCGUGCAGUGGGUACGGGCUGACUAGAGUGCAGUAGGGGAGUCUGGAAUUCCUGGUGUAGCGGUGAAAUGCGCAGAUAUCAGGAGGAACACCGGUGGCGAAGGCGGGACUCUGGGCUGUAACUGACACUGAGGAGCGAAAGCAUGGGGAGCGAACAGGAUUAGAUACCCUGGUAGUCCAUGCCGUAAACGUUGGGCACUAGGUGUGGGGGGCAUUCCACGUUCUCCGCGCCGUAGCUAACGCAUUAAGUGCCCCGCCUGGGGAGUACGGUCGCAAGGCUAAAACUCAAAGGAAUUGACGGGGGCCCGCACAAGCGGCGGAGCAUGCGGAUUAAUUCGAUGCAACGCGAAGAACCUUACCAAGGCUUGACAUACACCGGACCGUCCUGGAAACAGGUCUUCUUCUUUGAAGCUGGUGUACAGGUGGUGCAUGGUUGUCGUCAGCUCGUGUCGUGAGAUGUUGGGUUAAGUCCCGCAACGAGCGCAACCCUCGUUCUAUGUUGCCAGCAUGUGAUGGUGGGCAACUCAUAGGAGACUGCC